RNAcentral lists this ribosomal RNA (524 nucleotides) under uncultured bacterium. Its description in RNAcentral is "partial 16S ribosomal RNA". It matches the Rfam family "Bacterial small subunit ribosomal RNA", at positions 28 to 523 of the family's 1533-position model. The record is from RNAcentral.
GACGAACGCUGGCGGCGUGCUUAACACAUGCAAGUCGAACGGACAGACAGAGAGCUUGCUCUCUUGAAGUUAGUGGCGAACGGGUGAGUAACGCGUAAUCAACCUGCCCUUCAGAGGGGGAUAACAACGGGAAACCGUUGCUAAUACCGCGUACGAUUCAUGAACGGCAUCGUUUAUGAAUGAAAGGUGGCCUCUAUGUAUAAGCUAUCGCUGAAGGAGGGGAUUGCGUCUGAUUAGCUAGUUGGAGGGGUAACGGCCCACCAAGGCAAUGAUCAGUAGCCGGUCUGAGAGGAUGAACGGCAACAUUGGGACUGAGACACGGCCCAAACUCCUACGGGAGGCAGCAGUGGGGAAUCUUCCGCAAUGGACGAAAGUCUGACGGAGCAACGCCGCGUGAGUGAUGAAGGUCUUCGGAUUGUAAAGCUCUGUUAAUCGGGACGAAAGAGUUCUGCGUGAAUAAUGCAGAAAAGUGACGGUACCGGAAUAGAAAGCCGCGGCUAACUACGUGCCAGCCGCCGCCGCAG